This 425-nucleotide ribosomal RNA is filed under the name uncultured bacterium. RNAcentral's name for it is "partial 16S ribosomal RNA". It matches the Rfam family "Bacterial small subunit ribosomal RNA", at positions 354 to 796 of the family's 1533-position model. The record is from RNAcentral.
GUGGGGAAUCUUGCGCAAUGGGCGAAAGCCUGACGCAGCCAUGCCGCGUGAAUGAUGAAGGUCUUAGGAUUGUAAAAUUCUUUCACCGGGGACGAUAAUGACGGUACCCGGAGAAGAAGCCCCGGCUAAUUUCGUGCCAGCAGCCGCGGUAAUACGAAGGGGGCUAGCGUUGCUCGGAAUUACUGGGCGUAAAGGGCGCGUAGGCGGACAGUUUAGUCAGAGGUGAAAGCCCAGGGCUCAACCUUGGAAUUGCCUUUGAUACUGGCUGUCUUGAGUACGGGAGAGGUGAGUGGAACUCCGAGUGUAGAGGUGAAAUUCGUAGAUAUUCGGAAGAACACCAGUGGCGAAGGCGACUCACUGGCCCGUUACUGACGCUGAGGCGCGAAAGCGUGGGGAGCAAACAGGAUUAGAAACCCUAGUAGUCC